This 415-nucleotide unclassified non-coding RNA is filed under the name fungal sp. RNAcentral's name for it is "partial internal transcribed spacer region". The stretch from base 1 to 46 matches the Rfam family "Eukaryotic small subunit ribosomal RNA", at positions 1786 to 1831 of the family's 1831-position model. The record is from RNAcentral. Lineage: Eukaryota; Fungi.
AAGUCGUAACAAGGUUUCCGUAGGUGAACCUGCGGAAGGAUCAUUAACACGUAUCCAACGUUAAACCCCCCUGUGAACCUUAAGCGCAGCUCUUGCAGCCUCUAUAAGAACAGCAAUCCUGGUAAAUCAGUCCGAGAAAAGUUUGAUUCAGGACCUCUGUCUAAAAGGAUGCAAUCGAGCGCUGGAGUAAGUGGCUUGGUUUCCCCAAACAAUUAGUAUUCUGAAAGUGUUGCUACUUGUGUAAGGAUAACGCUUUACGAUUGCUGUAGGCCGAACACCGGCCGGCGACUCGGCCACCGGGCUCACGCCCCCUAAUCACGCCCAGCAGUUAUCUAUAACGGACGCCUCCACAGCAAGUGCGCCGGAGCUUACGUCCAAAACCGAACAACUGUUAACAAUGGAUAUCUUGGUUCUC